ACGAAGGUGGCUAGCGUUAUUCGGAUUUACUGGGCAUAAAGCGCACGUAGGCGGCCUUGUAAGUCGGAGGUGAAAGCCCGCAGCUCAACUGCGGAACUGCCCCCGAUACUGCUUGGCUUGAGUGCAGGAGGGGUGACUGGAACUCCAGGUGUAGCGGUGAAAUGCGUAGAUAUCUGGAGGAACACCAGAGGCGAAGGCGGGUCACUGGACUGCAACUGACGCUGAGGUGCGAAAGCUAGGGGAGCGAACAGG
Molecule: ribosomal RNA, 252 nt
Filed under: uncultured bacterium
Lineage: Bacteria
Description: partial 16S ribosomal RNA
Rfam family: Bacterial small subunit ribosomal RNA
Source: RNAcentral